AUGGUAUUUAUCUUGAACAGGUUGUAACUCAACACUUGUUAAAGAAACAUCUAUACAAGGCAAGCUAUCACUGCAUGCAAAGUGAACCGGCUUAACUGUGUAUGUUCCCUUUAUACCUUCAUAGUUGAUUCCUGUGAGAGCCACAGCUGCUGUUUGAUUUUUGCAGUUUCUUUUAUCGCAGUAGAAUUGAUCGAUUAUUAUCGGAACUUGAACCUGUGAAACUUGUAUGUUUGAGAAUAGUACUCCUUGUACUGAACCUGAUCCACCCUGCAUAAUUUUUUAUUUAAUUUGUUAGAGAUCAAAUUUUUCAUUCAAUUUGAUGAAGGUAUUUGGAUUGAAUGAGAGCUUUGCAGCAUUUGAUUGAAUCAUAAUUAUUUGGCUUUGAGAGAAGAUUCAAUUAUCGGUAUGAAAUGAUUUUGAAGUUAAAUUUUCUGAUAAGCUUGAUGAACAUAUAGGAAUCUUUUUUACCUGCCAUGUUUUGAUUCUGACACCAUUCAUUGUGUUAUGCAUGUUGACAUCCCUGACAGUGAUGUUUGAGACACAGGCUCUAGUAUUAUCCUUUCCUAGACCUCCGAUGCUGAUUCCAUGCCCUGGUCCACAGU
RNAcentral lists this long non-coding RNA (602 nucleotides) under Medicago truncatula (barrel medic). RNAcentral's name for it is "long non-coding RNA (MTRU_LNC006350)". Lineage: Eukaryota; Viridiplantae; Streptophyta; Magnoliopsida; Fabales; Fabaceae. The record is from RNAcentral.